AUUGAAGAGUUUAAUAAAUUAAUUAAUAUUUAGGACAGUUUUCUCAUCGUGUUUUAAGUCUAGAUCUAAAGGCUUACCACUGGAAUAUUAAAUUAUAGUACAUCUAUACCAGGGGCAGACUGGGUGUCAAAAUCUACCUAGAUUUAACAGGAGGUUUGGGCUACAAUGUACUUGGUUGUAUACUCAGCAGGAACAGGAGGUUGGGCUACAAUGUACUUGGUUGUAUACUCAGAAGGAACAGGAGGUUUGGGCUACAAUGUACGUGGUUGUAUACUCAGAAGGAACAGGAGGUUUGGGCUACAAUGUACUUGGUCGUAUACUCAGAAGGAACAGGAGGUUUGGCCUACAAUGUACUUGGUUGUAUACUCAGAAGGAACAGGAGGUUUGGGCUACAAUGUACUUGGUUGUAUACUCAGCAGGAACAGGAGGUUGGGCUACAAUGUACUUGGUCGUAUACUCAGAAGGAACAGGAGGUUUGGGCUACAAUGUAUUUGGUCGUAUACUCAGAAGGAACAGGAGGUUUGGGCUACAAUGUACUUGGUCGUAUACUCAGAAGGAACAUGAGGUUUGGGCUACAAUGUACUUGGUUGUAUACUCAGAAGGAACAGGAGGUUUGGCUUACAAUGUACUUGGUCGUAUACUCAGAAGGAACAGGAGGUUGGGCUACAAUGUACUUGGUUGUAUACUCAGAAGGAACAGGAGGUUUGGCCUACAAUGUACUUGGUUGUAUACUCAGAAGGAACAGGAGGUUUGGGCUACAAUGUACGUGGUUGUAUACUCAGAAGGAACAGGAGGUUUGGGCUACAAUGUACUUGGUUGUAUACUCAGAAGGAACAGGAGGUUUGGCCUACAAUGUACUUGGUUGUAUACUCAGAAGGAACAGGAGGUUUGGCCUACAAUGUACUUGGUUGUAUACUCAGAAGGAACAUGUCGAACAUUUCUUAAACAUUUAAAAAAAAAACACAAGUAGAUAACAUUUGAGUGACUCGUUUUUUUUUCUCCAUUAAUACGUGAUGUGAAAAGAUUUAAUCAAUAUAUUAAUUCAUAUGAGUAUAUCUAUAUAUUUCAUAUAUGUUUCUAUAUGAAAGAAAAGGCAGAGAGAAAGAGAGAGAGAAAGAAAGAGGUUAGAGAAAAGAGAGGGGCUAAGUGAGAGGGAAAGGGAAACAACCGUUCAACAGUCCAGCGCACAUGACCUGUUGUCUUUGUGUAUGUAGAAAAUAUUCAACAUGUUCUUUAAAUAGACAAGCCGACUAAUAUCAUGUACUUUUUUUCUCUAUUCACUCUAACAUCCCCCACCCCCUUUUAUUUUCUUCUCUCUAUGCGGAAGGAUGCAACAUUUUAAAUGUAUUUAUUGAAACACUUUUGAACUAAUCCAUGCUUAAUCCAUAAUCAUUCUACGCUUGAGUGACUUUCAACGCUUGGUAGACUACAUGUCCCAGUUGAAACUAUUGACUGACAAAUUUACAUUUUUAAUUUCCAUUGUAUUAUUAUUUUAUUACAAAGCACCGACACGCCACCCAGUCAGUUUCAACAGAGACAAAUGGAAAAAGUAUGCUAAUAUAACCAUUACAUUAUGUGCGCAGUCCUGCUCUCCCUUUCUCUUAUUCUCGUUGUCACAUUUUCCUCUCCCUCUGUUUCGAGAUCAUCUUAUAAACUAGAAUGCCGUGUAACAUUUUCUUUAGAGGAGACUGUUUAAAUGUCAUCUAGUGAAAAUUCCCUUUUAGCUCAAUUUAAUCUGGACGCGUACGGCGCAUGAUUUAUAAAGAGAAAGACUGAAAGUCAGACAACGACUGGAACAAAAUGUGAACUGAAUAUUUGUGUUUCUUUAAAUUAGGCCUGGAAUGGAGAUCUAGAAAUAAAGUAUUUCGAUAGACUAAGAUACUAAAUAUUCCAGCUAUGAGAAGACCCCUCCAAAGUGCUUUGUCAUUGACAAUGAAUAAUUCUGUAAAGUCUCUUGAUCAGAGAAUGGGAUUAUGGGAAUUUGGGAGAAAUAGUGUGUACAUUACAAGAUUCCAGACAGACAGACAAACAGAGUGACAAAGCCUUGUAAAAUUGUAUAUUGCAAGCUUGACACGAUAGGAAGUUUUACAUGUCCCUAACUAAAUACCUAUUCCUAAGUUGCACUCCCUAAUACAGUACAGAUUGACAACAGAUUGACCAACUAAUUGAGAACGCCAUCGGUACUAUUUGACAAGAUCUAAAGGAAAAAGACUUGAGACAAGGCAAAUGCUAUAACUGAUGACUUCUCGCUAGUUGCAAAUCGCCCGUGUGUCUAGGCUAAGUAAAUCAAGGAGACAUUAUCAAAUUAUUAUUAUAGCUUUUAUAUAGCGCUACUUUCAUGCUUAUAGCAUGCUCAGAGCGCUUUGGUCCAAUCUCAUUUUUGGACCAGUGGGGGGAGGGGGUAUCUAGGAGUUGGUUUUCCGUGCUGCCUUUAGCGCUCAGUAAACACAACUCUGCCCGAGUCGGGUGUUGAACCUCGAACCCCUUCUAGGUAGCCAAGACAAGCCAAGUUCAAGCGCACUUAGCCUCUCGACCAAGGUCAUUUCCACUAACAAAAAGUAGUGAUGCUUUAUCUUCAUUCUUUCUUGUUUUUUUGCAAAGCUUAUAUCAACUCACUCUGUCUGCCUGUCUGCCUGUCUGCCUGUCUGGUAGAAAGCAUGUGCAUGUUAUUUCUCCCACUUCCCAUUCUCGGAUCAAGUUGAAACUUUGCACAAUUAUUUAAUGUACCCGACAAAACAUGAAUGAGUCAAAAUUUUUGAAUUGCCUAUUGGUAAUUAAUUAUAUCAUUUUGAUAUCGAAAUAAGGGAAAUAAAUGCUACUUAAUAAAAUA
Molecule: long non-coding RNA, 2830 nt
Organism: Biomphalaria glabrata
Lineage: Eukaryota; Metazoa; Mollusca; Gastropoda; Planorbidae
Exons: 2
Source: RefSeq, a predicted model, not a curated record